AUCACCUGGGGAAUCUUGUUAAAAUGCAGAUCCUGACUCAGUAGAUCUGGGUGCAGACUGAGAUUCUGUCUUUCUAACAAGCUCUCAGGUGAUGCUAA
RNAcentral lists this microRNA precursor (98 nucleotides) under Loxodonta africana (African savanna elephant). RNAcentral describes it as "mir-544 microRNA precursor family". It matches the Rfam family "mir-544 microRNA precursor family". Lineage: Eukaryota; Metazoa; Chordata; Mammalia; Proboscidea; Elephantidae. The record is from Rfam by way of RNAcentral.